GGGGAAUAUUGCGCAAUGGGGGAAACCCUGACGCAGCGACGCCGUGUGAGGGAAGAAGGCUUUCGGGUCGUAAACCUCUGUCAGGAAGGAAGAACCUCUCAAGGCUGAACAAGCCUUGGGACUGACGGUACUUCCAGAGGAAGCACCGGCUAACUCCGUGCCAGCAGCCGCGGUAAUACGGAGGGUGCAAGCGUUAAUCGGAAUCACUGGGCGUAAAGCGCGCGUAGGCCGUCUUUUAAGUCGGACGUGAAAGCCCUCGGCUCAACCGGGUAACUGCGUUCGAUACUGGGAGACUUGAGUCCUGGAGAGGGUGGCGGAAUUCCGGGUGUAGGAGUGAAAUCCGUAGAUAUCCGGAGGAACACCGGUGGCGAAGGCGGCCACCUGGACAGGUACUGACGCUCAGACGCGAAAGCUAGGGUAGCAAACG
This 427-nucleotide ribosomal RNA is filed under the name uncultured bacterium. Its description in RNAcentral is "bacterial SSU rRNA". It matches the Rfam family "Bacterial small subunit ribosomal RNA", at positions 356 to 774 of the family's 1533-position model. The record is from RNAcentral.